GACCAUUCCGGUGGUCUAGUGGUUAGAGCAUCCACCUCAGAUGCGGGAGGUCACAGGUUCAAACCCUGGCCGAGUCA
Molecule: non-coding RNA, 77 nt
Organism: Potamilus streckersoni
Lineage: Eukaryota; Metazoa; Mollusca; Bivalvia; Unionida; Unionidae
Source: the annotation of a GenBank genome assembly